This 460-nucleotide ribosomal RNA is filed under the name uncultured bacterium. Its description in RNAcentral is "SSU rRNA". It matches the Rfam family "Bacterial small subunit ribosomal RNA", at positions 26 to 518 of the family's 1533-position model. The record is from RNAcentral.
AGAAUCAACGCUGGCGGCGUGCCUAACACAUGCAAGUCGAACGAGAAAGUGGAGCAAUCCAUGAGUAAAGUGGCGCACGGGUGAGUAACACGUGACUAAUCUACCUCCGAGUGGGGAAUAACUGAGAGAAAUCUUAGCUAAUACCGCAUAACACUUACGAGUCAAAGCAGCAAUGCGCUUGGAGAGGAGUUCGCGGCCGAUUAGUUAGUUGGCGGGGUAAUGGCCCACCAAGACGAUGAUCGGUAUCCGGCCUGAGAGGGCGCACGGACACACUGGAACUGAAACACGGUCCAGACUCCUACGGGAGGCAGCAGUGGGGAAUUUUGCGCAAUGGGGGAAACCCUGACGCAGCAACGCCGCGUGGAGGAUGAAGCCCCUUGGGGUGUAAACUCCUUUCGAUCGGGAAGAUAAUGACGGUACCGAUAUAAGAAGCCCCGGCUAACUUCGUGCCAGCAGCCGC